GAUGAACGCUGGCGGCGUGCCUAACACAUGCAAGUCGAGCGGCAGCGAGGGGUGCUUGCACCCUGUCGGCGAGCGGCGGACGGCUGAGUAACUCGUGGGAACGUGCCCCAAAGUGAGGAAUAACUGCCCGAAAGGGUAGCUAAUACCGCAUAUUAUCUUCGGAUCAAAGGAUUUAUCCGCUUUGGGAGCGGCUCGCGUCGGAUUAGGUAGUUGGUGAGGUAAUGGCUCACCAAGCCGACGAUCCGUAGCUGGUCUGAGAGGAUGACCAGCCAGACUGGAACUGAGACACGGUCCAGACUCCUACGGGAGGCAGCAGUGAGGAAUCUUCCACAAUGGGCGAAAGCCUGAUGGAGCAACGCCGCGUGCAGGACGAAGGCCUUCGGGUUGUAAACUGCUUUUAUAAGUGAGGAAUAUGACGGUAACUUAUGAAUAAGGAUCGGCUAACUACGUG
This 451-nucleotide ribosomal RNA is filed under the name uncultured bacterium. RNAcentral's name for it is "partial 16S ribosomal RNA". It matches the Rfam family "Bacterial small subunit ribosomal RNA", at positions 28 to 507 of the family's 1533-position model. The record is from RNAcentral.